AUGUACCCCUUGGGGUCCUGAGGACCGAGUUUGGGAAACGCUGGUUUACAGUAUUAAUGCCACCAGUAAUGUGUCUCAAAUAUCACACCCUUGAAUAAAACUCAUGAUAUGUUCAUUCGAAAAAUAUGUUAACCCGAUUUCCUGUGAUGUUUUGUGACAUAAGUGUCUCUCCAUUAUAGUAGUGUAAGACUGGCAGGAAGUGGAUCUCUCAACCCAUCAAGGUAAAGGUUAUCUUCAACGACAGAUCUAGGAUCAGAUUACCCAUCCUAACUUUAACCAAUAAAGGGAUGAAAGAGWUCUGACUCCAUAUCAGUGAUUAGGGGUAAUUUCUACCUCUUCCUUCUCCUUCCAGUCAGUAGUGGCCAGGCUUCAGCUCCUCGGCCAUUUGCAUGGCCACCUCUAUCCUGAAGGACCUUCCAGUGCAGGGAGGGGACUGACUGGGGGACCCGUCCCACUUGGUAGUGUACUGGGGAUGUCCAUCCCCAUGGGCCCUGUAGAGGGUGACGUGGCACCUCAGGUCGGGCUCCGGAGGGGACCUCAGGCUGGAUGCUCAGACGUACCCCCGGGCGGGGCCCCUGAACGUUGCCCGCAGGGGACCUUGGUCCCAUGGCUUUGUGGCCCCUCGUCUAUGGAGAGGCACUGGCCAGGAGCUUGGUUCCAUGUGGCCGUAGGCUCAGAGGAGCGGGAGGCCCUUCUUAUCGGCCCACGCUGUGACCUUCUCUUCUAUCAGCUCCUGUCUCGCCACCUGAGCUAGGUCACCACAGAAACCAAGAGACAUGAAGGAGAGAGAGAGUCCUUGAGAUAGCUGGUGGCAAACAGCCAAUCACACUGUAUGUCACUUCACUACAAAACUACAGCAGAGCAGAUUUGGAUUAAGACAUAAGCAGCAUCUACUAAUGAGCGUCUCUCUGACGUGGCUGUACUACCUGGGGCUUCAGCCACGUUAAGCCAUUCAGAAGAAAGACCCCCUCCCUCCCUCACCAUCUCAUGCUUGGACAGGAGAGGCCAUACUGUAUGGAAUUCGGAUACCCGUUCUAGGAAUUCUCACAAUUCUAUUCCUAUAGUAGAAUCCACAUUCUAUUCCUAUUGUAGAAUCAACAUUCUAUUCCUAUAGUAGAAUCCACAUUAUAUUCCUAUAGUAGAAUCCACAUUCUAUUCCUAUAGUAGAAUCCACAUUCUAUUCCUAUGGUAGAAUCCACAUUCUAUUCCUAUGGUAGAAUCCACAUUCUAUUCCUAUAGUAGAAUCCACAUUCUAUUCCUAUAUUAGAAUCCACAUUCUAUUCCUAUAGUAGAAUCCACAUUCUAAUCAGAUGCUUGAGUGGUGUGUGUUUGUUAAGUAUGGUUUCUGCUCAUGACAUGAUAACAUAGAGCCUAAUUUAUAGGUAAAAGCUGGGCCUUAGCCUUAGUAUGUAUUCAAUCUGAGAGAGAGAGAGAGAGAGAG
This is a non-coding RNA of Salvelinus sp. IW2-2015, 1441 nucleotides long. The record is from RefSeq and is a predicted model, not a curated record. NCBI's taxonomy places the organism in Eukaryota, Metazoa, Chordata, Actinopteri, Salmoniformes, Salmonidae.